UACGGAGGGGACUAGCGUUGUUCGGAAUUACUGGGCGUAAAGCGCACGUAGGCGGAUUUGUAAGUCAGGGGUGAAAUCCCGGGGCUCAACCUCGGAACUGCCUUUGAUACUGCAAAUCUCGAGUCCGGAAGAGGUGAGUGGAAUUCCUAGUGUAGAGGUGAAAUUCGUAGAUAUUAGGAAGAACACCAGUGGCGAAGGCGGCUCACUGGUCCGGUACUGACGCUGAGGAGCGAAAGCGUGGGGAGCGAUCCGG
This 253-nucleotide ribosomal RNA is filed under the name uncultured bacterium. RNAcentral describes it as "partial 16S ribosomal RNA". It matches the Rfam family "Bacterial small subunit ribosomal RNA", at positions 524 to 776 of the family's 1533-position model. The record is from RNAcentral.